GGCUUCGUGGUCUAGUGGUAGGAUACUCGCUUAGGGAGAACCCUAAAGCAAACAAAAUUGCGAGUGGUCCCGGGUUCGAUCCCCGGCGAAGCCC
Hypoxylon trugodes is the source of this 94-nucleotide non-coding RNA. The record is from the annotation of a RefSeq genome assembly. Lineage: Eukaryota; Fungi; Ascomycota; Sordariomycetes; Xylariales; Hypoxylaceae.